This 535-nucleotide long non-coding RNA is filed under the name Rattus norvegicus (Norway rat). RNAcentral's name for it is "long non-coding RNA NONRATT006908". Lineage: Eukaryota; Metazoa; Chordata; Mammalia; Rodentia; Muridae. The record is from RNAcentral.
GAGCUAGCCGAGCUGGCUAACCGGGCAGAGCUGCCCCUGAGCUGGUCUGUGUCCAGCAAACUGAACCAACAUGCAGAACUGGAGACGGAAGAGGAAGAGAAGAACCCGGAAGAACUGACAGAGAGGAAUGGGUGAUGCUGGGCUCCUAGUGUGGACCGAGAAGUAUUUCUCCUAAUUCCAUCCUCUGAAAGACAUUACAGAGAACUGAUAUAUUUUCCUCCCUAACUGCUUGGAAGAAUUCACCCAGAAUGAACCCAUCUGGACCUAGUGCUUUCUGGUUGGGAAGGUCAUCAAUAAUUUACUUAAAGUCGGGGCUGGAGAGAUGAGGCGGCGGUUAAGAUGGCUUAUUGUUCUUACAGACAGCCUGGGUUCAGUUCCCAGUGCACACACGGUGGCUCACAAUCACCUAGAACUCCAGUUCCAAGGGACCUGGCACCUUCUUCUGGCUUCCAUGGGCUACUGCAUGCGUGGGAUGCACGUAAGCUCACACAGGAAUCCAGACUCGUGCGCAUAAAUAAAAGUAAACGAAACUUUG